This 91-nucleotide ribosomal RNA is filed under the name Mesobacillus foraminis. Lineage: Bacteria; Bacillati; Bacillota; Bacilli; Caryophanales; Bacillaceae. The record is from RNAcentral.
CACCCGUUCCCAUGCCGAACACGGAAGUUAAGCUUCUCAGCGCCGAUGGUAGUUGGGGGUUUCCCCCUGUGAGAGUAGGACGUUGCCAGGC